ACGGGUGAGUAAUGUCUGGGGAUCUGCCUGAUGGAGGGGGAUAACUACUGGAAACGGUAGCUAAUACCGCAUAACGUCGCAAGACCAAAGAGGGGGACCUUCGGGCCUCUUGCCAUCGGAUGAACCCAGAUGGGAUUAGCUAGUAGGUGGGGUAAUGGCUCACCUAGGCGACGAUCCCUAGCUGGUCUGAGAGGAUGACCAGCCACACUGGAACUGAGACACGGUCCAGACUCCUACGGGAGGCAGCAGUGGGGAAUAUUGCACAAUGGGCGCAAGCCUGAUGCAGCCAUGCCGCGUGUGUGAAGAAGGCCUUCGGGUUGUAAAGCACUUUCAGCGAGGAGGAAGGCAUUAAGGUUAAUAACCUUAGUGAUUGACGUUACUCGCAGAAGAAGCACCGGCUAACUCCGUGCCAGCAGCCGCGGUAAUACGGAGGGUGCAAGCGUUAAUCGGAAUUACUGGGCGUAAAGCGCACGCAGGCGGUUUGUUAAGUCGGAUGUGAAAUCCCCGGGCUCAACCUGGGAACUGCAUUCGAAACUGGCAAGCUUGAGUCUUGUAGAGGGGGGUAGAAUUCCAGGUGUAGCGG
RNAcentral lists this ribosomal RNA (583 nucleotides) under uncultured bacterium. Its description in RNAcentral is "bacterial SSU rRNA". It matches the Rfam family "Bacterial small subunit ribosomal RNA", at positions 102 to 681 of the family's 1533-position model. The record is from RNAcentral.